AUGUGGAUACUCAGCCUUUGGAUUGCAUGGGGAGCAAUUCUAGCAGAUCUAACUGAUGGAGAUUCCGUCACUCAGCCAGUAUCCUCUGAUGUUCAGACAGAAGGAGAAAAAGUGGCUCUCAACUGUAGCUAUGAUACUACAAGGAGUAUGUAUUUAUUAGCCUGGUACCGUCAGCACCCAGACACAGAGCCCGUAUCCAUUCUGGGAAAAGAUACUGAUGAUGAGGAGGAUAAUGCAGAUUUUGCUAAAGAUCGCUUCUCAACCGAACUUCAGACCUCAAAGAAAUUCACCAGUCUCACUAUCACUGGGCUAAGGUUGUCUGAUACAGCCAUAUAUUAUUGCGCUUUCAGUGACGACACAGUGAUACAUAAUAGUCUCACUCCUGUACAAUAA
Molecule: non-coding RNA, 393 nt
Organism: Chiloscyllium plagiosum (whitespotted bambooshark)
Lineage: Eukaryota; Metazoa; Chordata; Chondrichthyes; Orectolobiformes; Hemiscylliidae
Source: the annotation of a RefSeq genome assembly